Molecule: long non-coding RNA, 322 nt
Organism: Ictalurus punctatus (channel catfish)
Lineage: Eukaryota; Metazoa; Chordata; Actinopteri; Siluriformes; Ictaluridae
Source: Ensembl
AAUGUUUGACUCUAAUUUCUAAUGCAUGCUAAACAGCUUUAAACAGUAUAAAAAUAUACCACAGAGAUGCUACCUAAUGAGUUCCUUUUGGCUGUAAUCCAUCUUUCAGCAUUUGUCAGUGGUCACACAUGUGUGGAACAGCAGCCAAACGCUGUACAUCUCACUGAGGGAGAAAAUGUUACCCUGUCAUGUCACAUCUAUGUAGAGGAAGGAGAGAAAAUUACUAAAUUCCAUGUAGAGUGGUACAGGGAGGGUGCUGAUAGACACCCAUACGAGGUUGGAAACCUUUCCCAGCUCAGAGGAAGGUUUCGUGAGAACACCA